Molecule: long non-coding RNA, 349 nt
Organism: Canis lupus familiaris (dog)
Lineage: Eukaryota; Metazoa; Chordata; Mammalia; Carnivora; Canidae
Exons: 2
Source: RefSeq, a predicted model, not a curated record
AGGUCUCUACAGCACAGUGAGAAAUCAUUGAGAUUGGAAAUGGUUGGCACAUGUGAAUCUUACUGCUGGAGAAGCCACCUGGUAUCUAGUCUGUGUCGGUCCCUGGACUGGAGAACAGUAGUAAUCCCUAGAAGCAGCUUGGACUCUCUGAAUGCAAAUUAAAAGAAAGCAAAGCAUCUCCUGUCCUGUGUGCACAAACAGCAAGAUGUGCAGAUAUUGAAGAAUGCAAAAAUGAAUUUGUUAAUCCCUGUUAUUUUAUGUGAAAUGAAUGAAAUGUGAUGUCUUUGUACUGACAUGGAGCUCGUAAUAAAAAAUAUGAUUUAAUAUUUGGUUUUGAACAUCUCAAAAA